AAUGAACGUUGGCGGCAUGGAUUAGGCAUGCAAGUCGAGCGAGAACCGUAGCAAUACGGGGACAGCGGCGAAAGGGAGAGUAAUGUGUGGAUAUCUACCUCCAGGCCUGGGACAACUACGGGAAACUGUAGCUAAUACCAGAUAAUGUCUGCGGACCAAAGGUGUGAUUCCUCCGGGAGAUGAGUCCACAUCCUAUUAGCUAGUUGGUAGGGUAAUGGCAUACCAAGGCAAUGAUGGUUAGCAGGUGUGAGAGCACGACCUGCCUCAUUGGGACUGAGACACUGCCCAGACACCUACGGGUGGCUGCAGUCGAGAAUCUUCGGCAAUGGGCGCAAGCCUGACCGAGCGAUGCCGCGUGCGGGAUGAAGGCCUUCGGGUUGUAAACCGCUGUCAGAGGGGAUGAAAUACGUCGGGGGUUCUCCCCCGGGUUUGACAUAUCCUCAGAGGAGGGACGGGCUAA
RNAcentral lists this ribosomal RNA (460 nucleotides) under uncultured bacterium. Its description in RNAcentral is "partial 16S ribosomal RNA". It matches the Rfam family "Bacterial small subunit ribosomal RNA", at positions 29 to 500 of the family's 1533-position model. The record is from RNAcentral.